CUGAAGGUCUGGCUUCAGGCAUAUGGCAUGUACCUUUUAAUUGAUGAGUGGGUUUCUUUGAUAUGUUAAUGGGCAUUAGCCUUGUUCCAGUAUCAUAUCCAAAGGAAAAAAAACAUUAAUAUUUACCUACAGAAUAAUAAUUAAGCCUCAUUUUUGUUGUAUUUCGAAUGUGACAAGAGCCCUCUUCUAAACAAGCCCAAACAUGAUUG
Molecule: non-coding RNA, 209 nt
Organism: Pelobates cultripes (western spadefoot toad)
Lineage: Eukaryota; Metazoa; Chordata; Amphibia; Anura; Pelobatidae
Source: the annotation of a GenBank genome assembly